RNAcentral lists this long non-coding RNA (203 nucleotides) under Elaeis guineensis (African oil palm). Its description in RNAcentral is "long non-coding RNA (EGUI_LNC039006)". Lineage: Eukaryota; Viridiplantae; Streptophyta; Magnoliopsida; Arecales; Arecaceae. The record is from RNAcentral.
CUUAAAAAUUCUUAAUGGAUGAGAAUUUAAAUAAAAUAAAAGUUGUCACAAUUUAAACACCUUGUCAUGGACUGAGUUUGUAUUCCUCAGAAUAGCUGGCUUUAUGAAUAGAUUUCUAAGAAUUUUAUAAAUAAAAUAAAAGUUGUCACAAUUUAACUAAAAUAGUACCCUGAAUAGAUCAAUACUUGAUGACUUAAUGCACU